Molecule: long non-coding RNA, 1458 nt
Filed under: Equus asinus (donkey)
Lineage: Eukaryota; Metazoa; Chordata; Mammalia; Perissodactyla; Equidae
Description: lncRNA (ENSEASG00005038683.1)
Source: RNAcentral
AGGUUUAGAUGAGGUCACUAUGGUGGGGCCUUCAUGAUGGGAUUAGUGCUCUUAUCAGAAGAAACCAGAGCCUUGCUUGCACUCUCUCUGUGAUGAGACAGCAAGAGGUGGCUGCCUGCAAGCCAGGAAGAGAACUCUCCAGAACCUGACCGUGCUGGCACCCUGAUCUCAGCCUUCCAGCCUCCAGAAAUGAAGACAACCUCAGGGGUUACCUCCACGGCCACCAACUCCAGAGGGCUGUCUGCUCUACACCUCUGCUCAGUCCACUUCUGGCAGGAGCGGAGGACUUCCGUGCCAUACAGAAAGUCUCACUGGAAUUGUGUCUGUUGAAGAACCCCACAUCCUAGCACAGAUUUGGAAGGCUGGAUUCCUUGCUGGCAGCAGUAGGCUCAUCAGAACAGGAGGUCCAGGCUGCCUCUCAAAAUCCAGGUGAGAGAAUGCCACACACCACACAGGUAUUGAUGGGCUCACACAUCUCCAUCAGCCCUGUCCUUGGAGGGAGGCUGAGCACUAAGGACAAGUUUGGCCUGGUGACUGAAGAUACUCUGUGGUUGGCCUUACGGGUCAGUUUAUCCUUCUGGAAAGCUGUCCCUAGAGGUUUGGGUGUGACAGCUCCUGCCUUCAUUCCCUCAGCCUUGAUUACAGUGGUGGUAGGGAUCAAAUGCCCAGGAUUUUCCAGUCUGCCUGUUGCCAAUAUGAGUGCUUGCCUAUUACCCAAGGGUCCUCAUGAGACACCUCUGGCCGGCAGCCCAAGUGCCGUGGGGGUAGUAAUAAACUCUUACUGCUUUGUAAGUGCAGCCUUCAGCACAGACCCUGGCCAAAAGCGUCUGAUUCUUAUCAGAGGCUGAAGGACAGGUUUUGCUGGAGUUUCUAUGCCCAAACUUGAAAAGCAAGUUCAUCUGCCCCUUUACUCUGCAAACAUGGGGUUCCAUCUUAUUCUUGAGAAAAGGCCAAACACUCCGCCUCCAUAAUGACUCUAGAGAUCACUGUGUGGCCUAGUGACCACUGGCUGCUGGUCACUGGAGCAAGGCUGACCAACUGUGACACUUUGCCUGGGACUGAGAGGUCUCCUGGGACUUGGGAUGUUCAAUGCUAAAACCGGGGAAGUCCCAAGCAAUCCGGGAUGAGUUGAUCACUUUAACCAGAACUGAUCCUUGUCCUCUUAGACCAGCUCCUCAGCAUCCACACGAUGUACAACUCAGCCAAAAUCCAUGGUGGAAGGACAAAGAAAGAGCUGGAUCUGGAACAACCGAGGCCCCGCUGUUCUUUGCCUUGUUUAGGACUCUCACUGUGUUCAGAACCCUCGUAGACAUAGGGUAGUCUUCGUCCUCCUAGACUUGGCAAGGGAAGGAGAGAGGAGGAACAGGGAUUGUCAUCCCCACAUGCCUGGACAGUAUUCUAAGUCCCUUCCAAAAUGGAAUGUUGAUAGUUAUUUGUAGGUUGAGAAAUGUAUGACUA